GCUGGGCACAGUGGCUCAUGUCUGUAAUCCCAGCACUUUAGGAGGCCAAGGCAGGUGGAUCGCUUGAGCUCAGGAGUUUAAGACCAGCCUGGGAAACAUGGUGAAAUGCUGUCUCUACAAAAUAUACAAAACUUAGCUGGGUGUGGUGGUGCGCGCAUGUAGUCCCAGCUACUAGGGGGCUGAGGCAGGAAGAUCACUUGAGCCCAGAAGGUUGAGGCUGCAGUGAGCCAUGUUCGUGCCACUGCACUCCAGCCUGAGCAACAAAGUGAGACCCUGUCUCCU
This 282-nucleotide small RNA is filed under the name Pongo abelii (Sumatran orangutan). The stretch from base 136 to 282 matches the Rfam family "Metazoan signal recognition particle RNA". Rfam says of the family: The signal recognition particle (SRP) is a universally conserved ribonucleoprotein. It is involved in the co-translational targeting of proteins to membranes. The eukaryotic SRP consists of a 300-nucleotide 7S RNA and six proteins: SRPs 72, 68, 54, 19, 14, and 9. The record is from RNAcentral. Lineage: Eukaryota; Metazoa; Chordata; Mammalia; Primates; Hominidae.